Molecule: non-coding RNA, 558 nt
Organism: Nylanderia fulva
Lineage: Eukaryota; Metazoa; Arthropoda; Insecta; Hymenoptera; Formicidae
Source: RefSeq, a predicted model, not a curated record
UCUCAAUCACCAUCAGUAAAUGAUGAUACUUCACAAGAUACUACACUACUCGCACAAGAAGAAAAGAGCAGCCCACUUUCUUCCAAAGAAAAAUUAGAGCGACCUGUUCGUAAUUUGACAAAUGUUCUUAGUGCAGAUUUUGAUCAACAUUUUAUAACAUUGAAAAAGAACUUAGACGACAUGAGCAGCAAGCUUGACGUCAUUAUUAUGAACCAAGCGAACUUAAAUAAAUGUUUGAUUCCGGAACAGGCUAUCAUUACUAGACCUUCAAAUCUACCUCCUUUACCUUUAAAUGAUAUGAAAAUCUCGAAGAAUUUGACAAAUUUUUAUCUAAAGAUGUAAAUCUGUCGGCAGCGUGUUACUAUUUGAAGAGUUUGCCGUUAGGUGAUAAUGAAAAAAUUGUAGCAUCAAGACUUAUGACCAAAUUGAUGACUAAUUCCUUAGCGAAACAAUUCAACUUUGAUGGUCAUAAUCCUCAAAAGGCUAAAGUUAAUAAAAGGCCAUUUAAGAAACUGAAACUAUGGGAAUUAUUUCAAGGAGUUAUGCUAUUAAAAUUCC